GAUUGAACGCUGGCGGCAUGCUUUACACAUGCAAGUCGAACGGCAGCGCGGGGCAACCUGGCGGCGAGUGGCGAACGGGUGAGUAAUACAUCGGAACGUACCCAGAAGUGGGGGAUAACGUAGCGAAAGUUACGCUAAUACCGCAUACGUUCUACGGAAGAAAGUGGGGGACCUUCGGGCCUCAUGCUUUUGGAGCGGCCGAUGUCUGAUUAGCUAGUUGGUGAGGUAAAGGCUCACCAAGGCGACGAUCAGUAGCUGGUCUGAGAGGACGACCAGCCACACUGGGACUGAGACACGGCCCAGACUCCUACGGGAGGCAGCAGUGGGGAAUUUUGGACAAUGGGCGCAAGCCUGAUCCAGCAAUGCCGCGUGAGUGAAGAAGGCCUUCGGGUUGUAAAGCUCUUUUGUCAGGGAAGAAACGGCUGAGGAUAAUACCUUCGGCUAAUGACGGUACCUGAAGAAUAAGCACCGGCUAACUACGUG
This 483-nucleotide ribosomal RNA is filed under the name uncultured bacterium. Its description in RNAcentral is "partial 16S ribosomal RNA". It matches the Rfam family "Bacterial small subunit ribosomal RNA", at positions 27 to 507 of the family's 1533-position model. The record is from RNAcentral.